CCGGGCAAAGGAAGAACAAAGGAAGAAAAGAAAGAACAAGAACUCUAGGGUGAAAAUUCAAGGGAAAAGUGUGAAAAUUCAAGUAAUUAAGCAAUCAAAGGUAAAAUUUCUUGAUUUUGACUUGUGAUCUACCUUUCCCAUGCAUUAUUUUGCAUUUUCCAUGGUUGAAUCACAAGAUAUCAUGAAGGAUUCAUGGCUUACCGAAUUUAGAGAGAGAAGAUUUGAUGAUUUAUUUGGUUAGAUUUUGAGAUAUUUUAGUGUUUAUAGUUGAUUUAUCAUGUUUGGAAGGAAAACAAGAAAAAUCACAUGUUCUUCAUGGAUUUUUCAUUGGUCGAAUUUUCCAUGUAGAGUGUGGAUGAUGAUUUUGAUUUUAUUUCAAGUGAAUUGGUUAGGAAAUGAUGAAUUACGGUGAGAAAAUCAAGUAGGAAAAAUCAUAGUAUUGAUGCACCCACCAUGGUCGAAUUUUCCAAGAGAAAAUGUGAGGAUGAUUUUGCCAUAUUUCAAGUUAUUUAAUUUGUGUUUGAUGAUUUGGAGUAUUGGGAGAAAAAUGAAAUUAUUUGGAAUUGAAUUGGACAUAUUGGCCAAUUAAUAGAGUGAUAGAUCGAAUUAGGCCAAUACCAUGUAAUUUAGGUACACAAUUGAAUUUGUAUAGAACCCCGUGUUUAGACAAUAAUCCAAACAAUUUGCAUCCCAUUUCAUACAUUAGUAUAAAGCCUGAAUUGGUUUUAUAACAAUUUAGCACAAUGUAGUAAAUGGCUUAUUGUGCAUUAUGUCUAGGUGAUGAGCAUUUUGGCAAAAGUAAAGAAAUAGUACCUAAGGAUCAAGAAUCGGAGUACUUGGAAUUCGACUCUCGAAAUUGUGAGUAACCUUAUAUCAUCUUAAUUAUCUAAAGUAUGUUUUAUUCAAUUUUGUGAAUUUUAUGGAAAAUGAAUUAAAUGAUUAAUUUUUCGGUUUUAUAAACAAAAUGUGAUUUAAUGAAAUGAUUUCAUAAAAUUGUUUUAAAACUGAAUGAUGAUUUGAAAAUAGAGUAAUUGAAGACUGUUUUUAUGUGUUGUAAAUUCAUGAUUCUAAUUGAUUGGCUUAUGGCAAUAUUGGCAUGAAUGGUUGAUUUGAUAAAUGUGUUGGAAAUGUAUAAAUUGUUGAUUUGCCUUGAAAGGCUGUAAAAUAAAAUAAAAUAAUUGCCAUGUCAUGCUAUUGCAAAUUUUAUUGUAUGGUGGGUUUAACUUGCUGCAGUGGGUGGGUUUUCUGUGGACCAGCCUAUUAGAAGGGCACGGAAUCCCGUUAUAUUUUACCUUGGUUGGAGAGGCGAGUAGGGUAACUCCCGAGGUAUAACUUUAGAGUUCACUUCACGCUAAACCACCACGUGAGGGUGAACUCAACCAACGCCAAGGAACGGCUAUGUUUUCAAAAUAGAAACAUGAUUUAUGCGUACAUAACUUUUUAACGGCCUUGGCGGACUCGGUUGGGAUAACCCUCGAUCAAGGUAUCCCUGAUAACUGGGUAUAAAAAUGAUUUUGGCACGAGCCAAAGUUUUAAGAAAUUCAUAAGCCAUGUUGAUUACUCGAUUUAUAUGAAUUGAUUUUAUUUGGUUAAAACAAGUUGAAAGGUGAUGAAUUACAGUAUGCUAAUCUAUUUUAUCUAUCUCUAUUUACUCAGCUUUAGAUAUUUUAGAUGGUAUUUGUUUACUCACUGGGAUUAUAUAAUCUCACCACCCUUCUUUCCACCCAUUUCAAGCUCAGAAUAGGUUUUAGAUAGCUGAUUUCAUCGAGGCUACCAUUAGAUUUGCAUCCUCCAAACUGUAGGUUCACACUCUUCCUUACUUUUAGUUAUUCGGGGGCCCACUGGUUAUUAUAAAUUAAAUUAAAUACUCUGGCUUACUAUAUUACAGUAUGCAUGAAUUUAUUUUGCUUUUACGCUGCCAUGAAAAAAUUUAUUUACGUAUAACUCUAAAAAUAUUAUUUUAUAAGAAAAUAGAAUAUUUUAUUGAAUAUUUCUUUUAUUUUUUAUUUAUAUGCAAAUAAUCAUAAUUUUAUUUUAAAUGAAGGUUUUAGAUGUUUAAACUUAUAUUUUAUUAUGAAUUAUGUGUUUUGUACUCACAUACUACAUUUUUCACAGGUUUCAAAAUUUUUAGGAAAAAAUGACUAAAAUACCCCUGUGAGACGAAAAUUAUUUUUUUAUUGUUUUAAGUUGGAAAUAGUUUAAAAUCUUUUAGAACGUGAUAUUUAGCAAUGGUUACUCAUAGGGGAAAUGAGAAAUUGAUAUUAAAGCCUUGCAGGGUUUUGUUUGACAUUUCGAGUAAUGAGUGUCAAUCGGGACAUCGCGGCACUUGUCAAGGGCUCGAGGGGAGUUCCGGGUCGUGACACCCCUUUUUUCACUUAGGUGCCCUGCUUCUUGCUGCAGCAAGAAUGCUUUCUCGCUGCAGCAAGAAACAUUCUGUUCUGGCAGCAGAAAACUCACUGCAGAGAAAAUAAAUCUCGCUAUAGCAAGAAACUCUCGGGUUUUGAUGCAGUGCCUUCACUUUGAUAAAGAUUUUGACCACCUUCCCGUCGGAACUGGGAAAAGUGGUAACAUCAAAGUUGUAACCCUGCCUCUUAUCUUUCUAAUGGUCUAAAAAUAAGGUCAAUUGAACUUCUGUAGCUAGAGAUAUUCCAGAAAAAGGAAACAUAUGCAAACUGGUACUGUUUCUCUCUGCAGCGAGAAUGAACUUCGCUGCAGUGAGAAACAUUUUGUCCCACAUGCUACCCUAUUCGAUAUUUGACAUAUUUUUCACCCAUUUAACUUCAUGGAUUGAUCAUGGGUUGUUGCCACACUAUGAGGUUAUUAAUCAAAGUUUGAAAUGAGGGGUUUUUAGUAAGAAAUUAAAUCAAUUGCAUUGUUUUAGAAACAAGUGCAUCAUGAUUUCCAAAUUCUUCCUAUUGAUUGCUUGUUCCCUUCUUAUGUUCACUCAUUGAGUUUUAUACUCACGUUUUUAAAAUUCAUGUUUUCAGAUUUGGAGGCAGUUGGGACCUAGAUUGAGUUGCACACAUAUGCUCGCUUUCUUGGUAGGUAUUAAGGCAUCUCAGUAGCCGCAUCUUCACUGUGGUCACUCCGCUGGAAGUUAAGAGCCAUUUUGUUUUAUGAGUACAUUCAUGUGAUGUAAAAUACUAAGAUACGUGUCUUAGAUGAAAUAUGUAUAUUUUAACUAUUAAUGCCACCAUGAGUUGAAAUGUUAACAUCAUUUUGGGUUUAUAUUAAUGAAAUUCUUGAUUGCUAUAGCCCAUUAUUAAAGUGAUUAUAAGUUGAAAUUAUGAAAGGUGACUUGAGAAUAUUUGAUGGGAUGUUAAGCAAGACUACAUAAUAGGCUUGCUUGGGCUUGGUGGGCUAUGCCCAUUGGGGCCAAGCGCCGAUCAUGGCCCAAAAAUUUGGGCUAUGACAAAGUUGGUAUCAGAGCUCUAGGUUUAGUCGAGUCCUAGGGAUUCUUGUGUCAGUCAACGUAGUUGUCGGAGUUAAUGUAGAGUCUUGUUUAUGGUUUGUGACUACAGGACAAUUCAUAGACAAGAGGCUAUAUGAGCUCUUAUUCCUUGUAACCUACCCUCUUGCUAAUGGUCAUAAGUGGUACCGUUGUCCGGGUUUAAGAUACCACUCGAGAUACGAGCUGUUGUUGGAAAGCUUUUAAGCAAAUGCUCCUAAUGAAAGGCUAAUGUAAUAACAAAUUCCUCCAAUUAAAGAUGGAGGAAAUUGGAGUUGGACUAAUAGGUCCAUAAUGACUUAUUCAUUUAGUGGAGUUAUAACUUAAGCCCAUAAUUGUCAAUGGGAAGAAAUUUGAUGAACAUGGACGGUAUUUGAGGUCAAUAUAAAAGAGCCCAUGUGAUAAUGGUAAUAAAGGAUAUACUUUGAUCGGAACAAAUAGCGAUGAUUGAGAUUCACUUGAAGCUUGUACAUCUAAGUAUUAAGGGAGGAGUAAAUUGAUACCCACGUGCACGGAGGCAAGUGCACUAUGUUGAUUAAGCUUGCCCUGCCCUUAUAUAUAAUGGAGUCAGACUUCCAAAAUAUUUUAUAUGCGAAAAUGUGCUGAAUAUGUGUGUAGUAGCCUAGAUGGAGUUGGUUUUGAUUCUAAUUAAGUAGCUGUGAGAUUCCAAGGCUUGAAUUGAAUUAUUGUGGUUUAUGGUUAUAAUUGUAUGAAUUAGCUCAAGGGUAAAAAUCACAGAUUAAUAUAAUUGAUGUAUGGUCAUGAAGUAAAAGGCUAGCAAAUGAUCUACUCUAAGGAUGAGCUUGAAUUUUGCUAUGCUUAGUGUGCAGCCGAAGGAUUAAAGGACUAGAUUGGAUUUAGUAGUUUGAAAUUAAAUGACAUGGAAAUGACAAAUUUAGUCUAAGUGCCAGAUGGAGUUCUAUAUGAAGAUUGAUAUAUGAAUUGCUUUGAAGGUCAAUUUAAAAAAAUAGUUGGUUCAAUAUGCAACCUAUGAUGUAAAUGAUUUAUCUUGAAUGUGACUUAUCCAAAGGUAAGGGACUUAAAACGUGUGGAUUUUCGGAUAUGCUCUAAGAGGAAGUUUCUGCAUCCCAAGCUUAAGAAAUUUUGAUCUUAUGACUGCAAAGGCAAGAUACAAAAAAGUUAUGUGAAUUGUUUAUCUUAUGGAUGUAAUUGGUUAAGAAUUGAUGAGUAAAGUCAAGAUCUUAACACUAAGUGGUGUACAAUUUGAUAUAUGUGUACCUAAGAGUAAAUUUGGAGAUCAUUGCUUAAUCAAUUUGCACUGAAUGUUGUGGUAAAGGUAUAUGAAUGUUAGUAGUGAAGUAUGCCCAAGGUGAGAUAUGUUGAGACUAAUGUUCCAAUUGCAAACUUGUGAUAGAAAGCUAGUUUUGCAAAUUGUGGUUUUUAUGACCAUGAAAAAUAUGGAGGUUAUCAAUAUGUAGGCAUACACUUGGAGUUGUACAUCUUGUGAUCCCCAUGCAUCAUAUGGAAGGAGAUAUCCCUUAGGAGAGUUUAUCUUGAUUUAUGGUUACAUGCCUAUGGGCUUGGCAUGAGAUUGAGAAUGCCCUGGCAUAAAUGUGGAAUGUAUUGUGAAAGGUUGAAAAGCCACAUAUACCUUAACAAGGUUAAUAACAUGAAUGAGGGGGAAAUAUGAAUGUUGAUAUGCUGAGCAUAAAAAGCUUAAGGAUAAUUAAUGCAAUUAUACUAAGUUAGAUGGUAUGAUCCUAACUAAGAACAAGGACACCUUGGGAGAUUUUAAAAUAAUGUCCAAUGGGGUCAGUGAGCUAAAGUGUUAUCGGGCAUACAAUAAACGAUUAAAGUUAUGAGUGGCUUUGAAGAUAAGCCUUUGAUUGAUUAAGUUCUCAAUGGAACCCUAUUAAAGGAAGUGUUUAAGUGUUUUGGAAAUGUAUGGAAAAGCAUAAGAGAAUAUAUUAGCUUGACUUGCUAUAAGAGGUCGAAUUUGGAUGGCCAUGAGUAGCUUGUGAACAAUCAAGUAGUGUAAAGUAUGUGCUCAUAAAGGGAGCUAUGAUUGGUAGAUAAAGGUGGAACUUUAGAAUUUCAUUGUCAUAGUUAUUAGAUUAUAUUUUGUAUUAUAAUAUAGUGCAAAACAUCAAUGAUGAGGUUGUGUUCAAUGCUUUAAGCCUUGAACUAUAAAAUAUGGACAUGUAUCCACCUUAUGAAUACCUUGAUAAGAUAAAUUCGAAAGACUUUUCAUAAUGAGAAAACAUUAAAGCUCAAAGAGCAAAUGGCUAUACAGUCAAGUUGGGCUCGUGACUGACAUGUCACAUAAGUAUGAAGAUAUGAUACAAGCAUAAGAAUACUUGGAAAUACUAGUUUGAGGCAAUGAUUAUCCUAUUGUUUUGUGGACUCGAUGAGGUUCUGGUCUCGACAUAACUGUAGACGCAAAGCAUAAAUUGUGAAAUGUGCUUCCCCACAAGUUCCAAUUUAUUUUGAGUAACUAUCAAGAUAAAGUGCCCGAUAGGGAUAGUGGAAGGUUGAAUUAUACUUCAAAUGUUGAGAAAAAUAGGGUGACAUGGUUUGAUUAAAUGAUACUACCCUUGGUAAGGGAAUAGAAAUAUGUUAUGGGAAUUACGAAAAUCUACUUAGAAAAAAAAAAGGAUGAUGAUUUGAAAAUUCACGUACUCGUAUAUGAGUAAAGAUUUGGUAAUGAGACAUGACCUAAAGUUGGAAUACUACAAUAUAAAUUUUGACUAAGAAGAUCAACUAAUAAAACACUUGGUGUUUGGAGAUGGUGCCAAUUAGUGGUUGACUCUUGUAUGAGAAUGGAAUAUUGAAAUCAGCUUUGUGUAUUCACCACAAAUGAUGAGCAUGAUCUAACCAACCAAGAGAAGAAAUGAUUCUAAACUUGAUUAUUGAUUAUUUUGGUUUUACAGAUGACUUAUUGAGCUUGAUAUGCCUAAGGCUAUUCAAAGUUAAAAUUUUUGGAAAUAUAUCUGUAUGGAUAUAUAUGUUGCAUAUUGGUAUAAAAGCUCAUGCGGAGUUAGUUAUAAUUUGAUUCGAUGAUGAUAUUCUAUCAAUGGUUAUAGUGCUAGACAAUGAUUAAGAUAAUUUAUUGCUAAUUUUGGUAGUGAACAAGUGGAUUAUAAUGCUAUUAGCUUAAAAGUAAGUGUUUAUACUUUUGGUAUGAGUUCAUCAAAUUCUAUUAUAUCAUGAUAAAACUUGGUGUUUUGAUAUAGCCUGAGAGGCUUGGUAUAUGACCUAGCUUAAUUGUGAGCUAGAAAUUGUUAGGCUAUUAUGAAGUACAUAAAUAGAAAAGUAUGACAUGAAUUUAAUAUCCUAAGGCCAAUGAAAAAUGAUGUAUCAGUUUUGGUAUAGCUCUAAUAUAUAGUUUUGAUAUAUGAAGAUUUGGGGAAAAGUUUAUAGCUUAUGCAUGGAGGUGUGCAUUUGAAUUCAUGUAAUUAAAAGUGUAAAAUCUGCCUUGAUUGGCAUAAAGCCCAUGAUUCAAAAUGGAGGAUUAUAGAUUUAAUUUUCUAAGGUAAAAAGGGCUAAAGAAGUUAAUUUCGGAAAGGUCUUAGUAAAUGAUUCCUUGAUUUUAAAGUGCACUUAAGGAAAGAUAAAUGUUGAAUUCAUCUUCAGAUUGAAAAACUAAUGAGGCCAUGAGAUCUGGCAAUUGGAAUAAAUUUGAGGAAUUUUAAGUUAGAUAUGUUGUAUGUGAUUGAUGAUGAAUAAACUAGCUAUGACAUUGGAAAUAUAGAAACGGUUAGUAAUCAAGAUAAGACUUGGAAAAGAACUUUAAAGGAAAAUUUUGAGCAACUUUAACCUUGAGAGCUUGAGUUAUUGAUUAAAGAGAUUAAUUAAGAUCAUAAGGAUGUAUGUGAAUGUCAUGAUUUAUUGAAAUGCCUCGUGGUAUAAGUUAAGAUUUAUCUAAUGAGCACUUGAUCAUGAAAGUAUUGGAAUUUGUUUUUGGGAAUAUGGUUACUAAUGGUUACCGGAUUUGAAUCAUCCGUGAUGUUAAACAUAUAUGAAUAAAUAAAGAGUGUUUGAUCCUUAUGUAUUAUGAAAUGCUUGAAUGGAAUUUGUAUGGAGGUAUGUGAAACGGAAGAGAGGUUGGUUAACCAUUUAGACCCAUAGUCAAUGGUGGAAUAAAUGCUUGAAUGUUGGAAGGUUUGAUAAAAGAUCAAAGUGGAGGAAUUGUGGAUGGUUAAGUAAACAUGCAUGAUUGAUGAUUUAAAGAUGAUUUGAUUGAGGUGUGACCAGAAUUAAUAGCAUAUUUGAAUUCUCUUCAUAAGAUAAAGAAUGAUACUGUUUUGAUCCAACAAGAGUAGUACACAUAAUUAUAUAUUAUGACAUCGUUGACUUUUCUAUAAAGAUUGGAAGUUGAUAUAAUGCAUAAACCAAGAUUCCAUGUUAAGAAUGCCCGACGAGAGUGAUGUGGCAGAACUUGAGAACUUUGAUUAUUCACCCUACGUCGAUUUGAAUUCGAGGAGGUAACAUGGGAGGCCGAGGAGGAGAUGCAGACGAAGUAUCCCCACCUCUUUGAUGCUUAGAGGUACGUUACCUUAUAGUUAAAUUUAAAUUCGGGGAUCGAAUUUUUAUUAGUGGGGGAGAAUGUGAGACCUCAACCCCUAUAGGCUCAUAACGAGGCAUAGGCGUAAUAACCCAAGCUGGGGGUAGUUUUGUCAUUUCCUCUAAUAAGUUCCCAGAAAGAACUUUUCUGAUAUUUAAGGUCUAAAUAAGCAUAAAGACCAAAUAAAUGAUGCAUAAUGAAGAAAACAUGAAGAAAACUAGAAGUUUCAAUAAUUUUCACCACAAGGGCAAAAUAGUCAUUUUUCACAUCGGGUCAAAAUUUUUAAGUUUCGUAAACCCGAGCAUGUCUAGACCAUUAUGGACUUGUUUUAGUAUCAAAAAAGUAAAAAGAUUGCACCAAGGAUUGAAGGAGAACAAGUUAAUGUGCUAAGGGCAUUUUCAUAAUUUCAAGUGGAAUGGAUAAGCUUGAGCUAUAAAUAUCUUUUUCUUUCAGUAGCUUCUUUGUAAAGACCCCUCUUUAGUCGCUACCGACGUUCGAGACCUCCGAGAGAUCCCGCUAAGUCUCGAACAAGCCUGAAAAAAAAUUUCUCCAUAACUCAUUGUACAUUUUUACUAAUCCGUACUAGUAUUUGAACCAUAUAUAUAUAUAUAUAUAUAUACUUAUAACUUAAAAUUUCACAAGAAGCAUAGCCAUUAAAUUUUGACUUUAAAUCAUAAUAUCACAAUUAAAUACAUUGAGUUCAAGAAUCUAAAAUUUAUGUUUUUAUCAAAACUAAUAUUUGUUUACAUAGUAAAAUCAAAGUACUACAACUCAAUCUCUAACAGUGAAGCGACUCAGAAUAAAAGGCCAUGAGAUGCCUUUACCUAUUUACGGUGAGCCGAACGCACUGAUGAUUACUCGUUAGGUCGAUCCUUGUCUGCAAAAGAGGGAAAAGAGGGGUGUGAGUCUCACAGACUCAGUGAUCAUCGGCUCCGUGAGUAGGGCGUAGAUGGGAAACAAGCAAUAGCAGAUCAGUUGAAUAUAAAAAUACAAGAUUACAAAAACAAUUUAUUUCAAACAGGAGUUUGUGCCUUAUAUGAAAAACAGAGGAUUUCUUAUGCAUUGUAAACACUUCAAUUGGUAAAUCAACCAAGGUAGAUAAAAACUUUACUAUAAAACAGAUCAAUAACCUUAUUCAAGUCAAUCAUUUGAAAUAUUGAAUUAAAAUAAUUUUACAUGAAGAAAAUUUCGUCGUCAAAAUCAAUUAACAUUUUACUCAAAUCAAAUCAGUAUAUUCGGCAACCUCCCAUGAAAUCGAAUGUUAAUCAAACUCAUACGUAAAUCAUAAAUCACCUCGCACCGGAGGAGUUAAAAUUCAUUUCACCAUAAAAAUAAGGGGAGCUGCAGAAAAACAGUUAAAUUCUGUUUUCACCAUGUAAAGAAAUAUGAGUUUAAAAACCUAGAGAUGCCACUCUUGAGUAGGGAAUGAAAAUAAACCUGUGGUCUCACUACCACGUAAUAACAUCUGGGAGCAUCGCUUCCACCGGAUUCCCAUGUGCCAUGGCAGUCUCACGAUGUUAGCCGACAUCGGAGAAGCAAACGGUCGUAACUGUGUAAUCAUCUGGUGGCCUAGCCAUGCAUACAUAUAUCACAGGCCGUGGCCCCAACCAUGCCUAACCAUUUGUCGGUGACCCAAUGGUUCUCUAGCUAGAGCUCACUCAUGCACGAGGGUCACACUUAACCGAAGUGACAACCGGCCUACUCUCGAAUCUCUCGGUUUGUAAAACGAUUUUGAAAUUGUAUUAUGUCCUUAAAAGCUCGUCUCAAAAUUAUUUCCAAAGUAUUCAACACAAGGUAUGAUAAAAUCUAUUAUCAUUUUCAUAAAAUAAAAUUUGUGCAUGAAUUUCGAAACAAUAACUCGCUUGGUAACUAAACAUUAUAAUCAUGGAUGCACACUGCACAAAUAUAAGGCACAGAUUUUGAGGCAAAACAGUGCGAAGGGCUUGUUUCCCCAUUUUGGAAACACUUUACAUAUAAUUUAUACAUAUAUAUUCAAAACGAUUUCUAAACAUAAUUUGCAUUCACAAUUCUCUAAAAUUGCUACCAGCACAUGCUAUCCACAAUUUUCGCAUUUAAAAUAAAUAAUACCUAUAAAUAUAUAUUUACGAAAAUUUUAAAAUGGACACCCCCUACUCACCUCAAAAUAGCGGGAUGUUACGUCGCUAUUAAUUCAAAGGCGUAUCGAGCUACUCCUUCUUACCAGUAGUUCGUUAUUUCCUUCAACCUUUCACCACAGUGCACCAUUUAUUUAUUUCUCCUAAAUAUUAAAACCCACAUAAUUAAUAUAUCUAUUUUUUAUUCUAACAUCAUUAUUAUAUAUAUUUUUAUUAUUUUCUUACCUUUCUUUCCUGUUUCUUCCUCUCUCUUUUACUCGUUUUUCUCUUCCUUUCUUCUCCCUCCUUUCAUGCACCAAUUGACUGCACUUUCUUCCUCUCUUUCUCUCACCGUCAGUAGCUCUCAACCUUCACUAUUGGCGGCUUGAAGCCUCCUCUCCACUUCCACCAUUGGUCAGCUCUAGAUUAGUCCAAAGAACUCAAAUUUUCUCUCUUUUUAUUCAGCCAUUUUGUCACCAAAAACCAAGCUCUCUCUCUCUUUUUUCGUCAACAACCGCAACCCAACUCUUUCUCUUUUUCUUUCCUCAAAAUCCAGCAGUAACUUAGCUUUCUUUUCCCUUAAAAUUUGUAGCAAAAAUCUUCUCUUUUGACUCCUCUAAGUGGCAGCACAAAUCUCUCUUUCUCAACUUACUCUUUCUUUUUUUUUUCCUCCUUUCUUUCUCUGCUUCUCUCGUUUUUUAGCCGACCUUCUCUCCCUUUUUAUUUCUCUCCAUUUGCUCCUGUUAAGAAGGAAAAAGAAAGAAUAACUUUCAUGUGGAAGCGAGAAAAGAAUGGACAUGACAACUUUUGUCCUUUUCUCCCUUCUUUCAUUCAAUCUUUCUUUCUUUUUUGUUACUCUUUGCCGGCCCCUGCCAUCAUUCACCAUAAAAAGAGAGAGUUUUUAUUAUUUUACUAUUACUUUGACUCUUAAUAAGUCACAUGCAGCCAUCCAUUCUUAUCUUCUCUCUUUUCAUCUUUGUUUCUUAUUUUCCUUAUUCAAUUCUUUCUUUCCUCUUUUAAAUGGCCAGCCCCCCACUCUUUUAUGUCUUCCAUUUCUUGUUCAAUCACUUCACACAAAUAAAUUUGCUUGACUACUAUACGGGAUUAUGGGGUGUUACAUUCUUCAUUCUCCAGUAGCUUCUUCUCUUUCUUCUUCUUCCAUCUCAUGUUGCUUCCAUCCUCCAUGGAAGCAUGGUUGAAAACUUCAUAACUUUCUCUCUCUAGCUCCAAAUUUCAUGCUUUUGCCCACUCUUUCAUACGGUUUUUCAUGCUUUUCCACUUUUACACCUUAAAACCCUAAAAAAGUCUUUGUUCAAAACUUUCUCUCACUAAUUGAAAGUUUUAGAGAGAGAAAGAGGAAGCUUCCAUAGUAGCUUGACAAUUUUUGGAAAGAAUUUCAAUUAUAAAGCUACCAAGGUGAGUAGUGAACUAUAGUUGAUUUUUAAGUAUUGAGAAUGUCUAGUAAUUAGAAUUGUGAGAGUUUAUUUGUUGGGAUUAUUAUUCAUUUUAGUGUGACUAGAGAAUUGCAAACAAUAGCCAUUUAAUGGUGGUUGGAAACCAGUUAGGAAUGACUAGUAGAACCCAAUUUAGAAAAUAGUUUUGGAAUGGUAUUAAUUCCAAUUUGGGUUGGUUGUGAUGUUGUGUGUAUAGGUUCCAAUAAGGCCUCACAUGUCCAUUUAGAGCAUUAGUUGAGAUUAGAGUCAAGCAAAAGAAUCAACAAGACCAGUGAGUGAACUGCCUUCAAACUUAUUUUGGGGAAUAUAAUGUAUUUGCCACACAUUUGAAUGAAUUAUCAAGUUUCUCAUAAAAACAUGAGCUUUGGGAACAAGCUUUUGCUAAAUGGUUUUAUGUUGUGAUAUGUGAUUGCUAUGGAUUCAUGCACUAUUGCAUUAUGAUGAUAUAUAUAUGUGUAUUGUGCAUGAUGAUUGAUAUUGUGUAUGAUGACUGUAACCGUGUGUGUGUGCACGAUGUGGGGGGAUGCACAUGCCAGUGAUGAUGGUGGCGUGAGAGAUGGAUGAUGAUAAUGCCCGUGUGCACGAUGUGGGGGGAUGUACACGAUGGCACUGAUUGUGCACGAUGUGGGGGGAUGCACAUGAGCUGGGUGUGAUUAUGAUGAUAUUGAUGUUUAUCUAUGUAUUAUGCAUAUCUAUGCUUAUGAAAUGAAAGUUCAUGAAUAUGAUAUAUGAUUGAAAUGCAUGUGAAAUUUGGCAUGAUGGAUCUUGAGAAAUUCCCAUUUUCUUGCAAAUUGAUCUUUAUUGCAGCACCAAAUGGAUUUUUGUGCAAAAAAGGCCUUUUUUUUCACUUAGGUGCCCUGCUUCUUGCUGCAGCAAGAAACAUUCUAUUUUGGCAGCAGAAAACUCGCUGUAGCGAAAAUAAAUCUCGCUGUAGAGAGAAACUCUUGGGUUCUAAUGCUGUGCCUUCACUUUAAUGAAGAUUUUGACCACUUUUCCCUUCGAACUGGGAAAAGUGGUAAACAUCAAAGUUGUAACCCUACCUCUUAUCUUUCUAAUGAUCUAAAAAUAAGGUCAAUUAGACUUUUGUAACGGGAGAUAUGCGAGAAAAAUAAAAAUAUAUGCAAACUAGUAUUGUUUCUCACUGCAACGAGAAACAUUCUGUCCUACAUGCUACCCUAUUCAGUUUUUGACAUAUUUUUCACCCAUUUAACUUCAUGGAUUGAUCAUGGGUUGUUGCCACACUGUGAGGUUAUUAAUCAAAGUUUGAAAUGAGGGGUUUUUAGUAAGAAAUUAAAUCAAUUGCAUUAUUUUUGAAACAAGUGCAUCAUGAUUUCCAAAUUCUUCCUAUUGAUUGCUUGUUCCCUUUUUAUGUUCACUCACUGAGUUUUAUACUCACGUUUUUAAAAUUCAUGUUUUCAGAUUUGGAGGUAGUUGGGACCUAGAUUGAGUUGCACACAUAUGCUUUCUUUCUUGGUAGGUACUAAGGCAUCUUAGUAGCCGCAUCUUCACUGUGGUCACUCCGCUGGAAGUCAAGAGUCAUUU
Molecule: long non-coding RNA, 13062 nt
Filed under: Theobroma cacao (cacao)
Lineage: Eukaryota; Viridiplantae; Streptophyta; Magnoliopsida; Malvales; Malvaceae
Description: long non-coding RNA (TCAC_LNC003200)
Source: RNAcentral